RNAcentral lists this ribosomal RNA (468 nucleotides) under uncultured bacterium. RNAcentral's name for it is "partial 16S ribosomal RNA". It matches the Rfam family "Bacterial small subunit ribosomal RNA", at positions 28 to 507 of the family's 1533-position model. The record is from RNAcentral.
GACGAACGCUGGCGGCGUGCUUAACACAUGCAAGUCGAACGGAAAGGCCCUGCUUUUGUGGGGUGCUCGAGUGGCGAACGGGUGAGUAACACGUGAGUAACCUGCCCUUGACUUUGGGAUAACUUCAGGAAACUGGGGCUAAUACCGUAUAGGAGCUCCUGCUGCAUGGUGGGGGUUGGAAAGUUUCGGCGGUUGGGGAUGGACUCGCGGCUUAUCAGCUUGUUGGUGGGGUAGUGGCUUACCAAGGCUUUGACGGGUAGCCGGCCUGAGAGGGUGACCGGCCACAUGGGGACUGAGAGACGGCCCAGACUCCUACGGGAGGCAGCAGUGGGGAAUAUUGCACAAUGGGCGGAAGCCUGAUGCAGCAACGCCGCGUGCGGGAUGACGGCCUUCGGGUUGUAAACCGCUUUCGCCUGUGACGAAGCGUGAGUGACGGUAAUGGGUAAAGAAGCACCGGCUAACUACGUG